Bactrocera neohumeralis is the source of this 436-nucleotide long non-coding RNA. RefSeq lists it as uncharacterized. The transcript is spliced from 2 exons. The record is from RefSeq and is a predicted model, not a curated record. NCBI's taxonomy places the organism in Eukaryota, Metazoa, Arthropoda, Insecta, Diptera, Tephritidae.
CAAUAUCGAUUGCGCAAGCCAAAGGUGUUACUGACAUUGAACGCGAACAGAAGCUUAAUCAAUUUCUUGAUCACCUCCACCGAGCCCGAAAUCAACGAGAAUAUUAUCAAAGUUGGUGUAGAAAUACUGACUCUACAGCAGUCGUUCUGUCAUUUGAUUUUGCCCAAACCGUUCACUACCCUGUCAGUCCACAACAACCUGGUACAGCACACUUCAAAGCAAUCAAGAGGUGCGGAGUCUUCGGAAUUACAGACGAAAAACAAAAAGUUCAGUACAAUUACAUGCUAGACGAAAAAGAUGACGUUGGUAAAGGACCGAACUGUGUUGUGAGCUUCCUGCAUUAUCACCUGUAAACCUACUAUAAAGACAUUAAAACACUCGUUCUUUUCUGUGACAAUUGUGUUGGGCAGAAUAAGAAUAACACUGUGCUAUCAUA